This is a long non-coding RNA of Vespula pensylvanica (western yellowjacket), 1257 nucleotides long. RefSeq lists it as uncharacterized. NCBI's taxonomy places the organism in Eukaryota, Metazoa, Arthropoda, Insecta, Hymenoptera, Vespidae. The record is from RefSeq and is a predicted model, not a curated record. The transcript is spliced from 2 exons.
GUGUGUGUGUGCGCGCGCGCACGCGCGCGUGAGAAAGAAAGAGAGAGAGAGAGAGAGAAAAAGAAAGAAUCGCGGAGUCCGUUCUCGUGGAAGACGCAGAGAGCACGAUAUCGAUUCGACGACGACUGGAUUGCGUCCCGAAGGACGAUACGUUCCUUCGGCGUUUCUCGUAUUAUACGGGCUCGAAGAAUAUACGACAAUAAAAGAAGGAUCGUAGCCGCUCGAACACGAUCCAUACUCCGUGAGAGUUAAUCGAGAGACGGACGAACUCCUACGGCUUUUAUGGCUCCGCUCGUAAAGAUAUACCUACGGCUUUUUCUGUGGAACUGAGGACCCCUUCGAACGAACACCCGGUCCAGGAAAAGCAGUAGAGAGACGUAGACGAUGAAGAUACGGAAAGAACUGUGGUCUGGAUGCGUAAACGCAGGGAGGAGGAGUAUUCCUUGGGCCGUGGAAAUUUCGGUGAAAGAGGGUCGAAGAAGCUAGCCAACCAAUUACUAUGCUGUAUAAAGGAAAAAAAAGUAAUAAAAAAUAAAAAAUAAAAUAAAAUAAAAUAAAACGAACAUACCUAACGCAGUUAAGAUAAUGUACAAGUCUCUAGUGUGAUACAUUUCUACGCUUAUUCUCUAACUGUAGCCGUGAAGUCUAAAGUACGAUACCUCGUUAUGGUUUGUAACACGGAGAAGUAGUCCUGUAAUAACUAAAUAAUAAUAAUAACAAUAAUAUUAAUAUUAAUAUUAAUAUUAAUAAUAUUAAUAAUAAUAAUAAUAAUAAUAAUAAAAUAAUAUUAAAAUAAAAUAUUAAUAAUAAUAAUGAAAAAAAAGUACGAUCAAAAAUCCGCUUAGGCUGACUGUUAACUCGCAAAAGACGUAUUGUAUUUCUGUAGGGAGGAAUUGUCCUAAUAAUUGCGAAUUGAACAUAAAGUAAAAAGAAAAAAAAAAAAAAAGAAAAAAAAAGAAAUGAGGAAGCAUAAAACGACGUCACUGAGAGAACAUGAAAAAAAGAGCCCAUAUAUAAUAAGGAUAUAUAGAGGCGUGCGGAUCACCGAUUUAUGGAUGAAUGAAUGCGUGAAUAAUAAUGAAUGGAUGAGCAUAAUGAUGGACGAUCGACCAGUCUUGGCCGAUUCGCGAGUGUGUGUCACUUUAACAAGCGAAGUAUUUCGAGAGUAUAGUGUUCGGAAUGUACAUAAUUCUUGUAUAUAACGAACGAAUCACUGAUUGUACAAUACCACCCAAAUAUAUUUAUAUUUCAUGUUAA